CUUGUACACACCGCCCGUCACACCAUGAGAGUUUGUAACACCCAAAGUCGGUUGGAUAACCUUUUUAGGAGUCCGCCGCCUAAGGUGGGACAGAUGAUUAGGGUGAAGUCGUAACAAGGUAGCCGUAGGAGAACCUGCGGCUGGAUCACCUCCU
This 154-nucleotide ribosomal RNA is filed under the name Fructilactobacillus sanfranciscensis. RNAcentral describes it as "Lactobacillus sanfranciscensis partial 16S ribosomal RNA". It matches the Rfam family "Bacterial small subunit ribosomal RNA", at positions 1380 to 1531 of the family's 1533-position model. Lineage: Bacteria; Bacillati; Bacillota; Bacilli; Lactobacillales; Lactobacillaceae. The record is from RNAcentral.